Molecule: ribosomal RNA, 442 nt
Filed under: uncultured bacterium
Lineage: Bacteria
Description: partial 16S ribosomal RNA
Rfam family: Bacterial small subunit ribosomal RNA
Source: RNAcentral
CCUACGGGAGGCAGCAGUAGGGUAUCUUUCACAAUGGGCGAAAGCCUGAUGGAGCAACGCCGCGUGCAGGAUGAAGGCCUUCGGGUUGUAAACUGCUUUUAUAAGCGAGAAAUAUGAUGGUAACUUAUGAAUAAGGAUCGGCUAACUACGUGCCAGCAGCCGCGGUCAUACGUAGGAUCCGAGCAUUAUCCGGAGUGACUGGGUGUAAAGAGUUGCGUAGGUGGCAUAAUAAGUAGCUAGUGAAAUCUGGUGGCUCAACCAUUCAGACUAUUAGCUAAACUGUUAAGCUCGAGACCGUUAGGGGUAACUGGAAUUUCUAGUGUAGGAGUGAAAUCCGUAGAUAUUAGAAGGAACACCAAUAGCGUAGGCAGGUUGCUGGGACGGUUCUGACACUAAGGCACGAAAGCGUAGGGAGCAAACGGGAUUAGAUACCCCAGUAGUC